This 74-nucleotide transfer RNA is filed under the name Hyphomonas sp. RNAcentral describes it as "tRNA-Gln". It matches the Rfam family "tRNA". From Rfam's summary of the family: Transfer RNA (tRNA) molecules are approximately 80 nucleotides in length. Their secondary structure includes four short double-helical elements and three loops (D, anti-codon, and T loops). Further hydrogen bonds mediate the characteristic L-shaped molecular structure. tRNAs have two regions of fundamental functional importance: the anti-codon, which is responsible for specific mRNA codon recognition, and the 3' end, to which the tRNAs corresponding amino acid is attached (by aminoacyl-tRNA synthetases). tRNAs cope with the degeneracy of the genetic code in two manners: having more than one tRNA (with a specific anti-codon) for a particular amino acid; and 'wobble' base-pairing, i.e. permitting non-standard base-pairing at the 3rd anti-codon position. Lineage: Bacteria; Pseudomonadati; Pseudomonadota; Alphaproteobacteria; Hyphomonadales; Hyphomonadaceae. RNAcentral also lists the same sequence under 1 other name. The record is from RNAcentral.
UGCCGGGUCGCCUUGUGGAAGAACAACUGACUUUGACUCAGUCAAUGCUGGUUCGAUCCCAGCCCCGGCAUCCA